RNAcentral lists this ribosomal RNA (468 nucleotides) under uncultured bacterium. RNAcentral's name for it is "partial 16S ribosomal RNA". It matches the Rfam family "Bacterial small subunit ribosomal RNA", at positions 28 to 507 of the family's 1533-position model. The record is from RNAcentral.
GACGAACGCUGGCGGCGUGCUUAACACAUGCAAGUCGAACGGAAAGGCCCUGCUUUUGUGGGGUGCUCGAGUGGCGAACGGGUGAGUAACACGUGAGUAACCUGCCCUUGACUUUGGGAUAACUUCAGGAAACUGGGGCUAAUACCGGAUAGGAGCUCCUGCUGCAUGGUGGGGGUUGGAAAGUUUCGGCGGUUGGGGAUGGACUCGCGGCUUAUCAGCUUGUUGGUGGGGUAGUGGCUUACCAAGGCUUUGACGGGUAGCCGGCCUGAGAGGGUGACCGGGCAAAAUUGGACUGAGAUACGGGCCAGACUCCUACGGGAGGCAGCAGUGGGGAAUAUUGCACAAUGGGCGGAAGCCUGAUGCAGCAACGCCGCGUGCGGGAUGACGGCCUUCGGGUUGUAAACCGCUUUCGCCUGUGACGAAGCGUGAGUGACGGUAAUGGGUAAAGAAGCACCGGCUAACUACGUG